CCUACGGGUGGCAGCAGUGAGGAAUAUUGGUCAAUGGGCGAGAGCCUGAACCAGCCAAGUCGCGUGAAGGAUGAAGGAUCUAUGGUUUGUAAACUUCUUUUAUAUGGGAAUAAAGUGAGGAACGUGUUCCUUUUUGUAUGUACCAUAUGAAUAAGCAUCGGCUAACUCCGUGCCAGCAGCCGCGGUAAUACGGAGGAUGCGAGCGUUAUCCGGAUUUAUUUGGUUUAAAGGGUGCGUAGGUGGUUAAUUAAGUCAGCGGUGAAAGUUUGUGGCUCAACCAUAAAAUUGCCGUUGAAACUGGUAGACUUGAGUAUAUUUGAGGUAGGCGGAAUGCGUGGUGUAGCGGUGAAAUGCAUAGAUAUCACGCAGAACUCCGAUUGCGAAGGCAGCUUACUAAACUAUAACUGACACUGAAGCACGAAAGCGUGGGGAUCAAACAGGAUUAGAUACCCCGGUAGUC
Molecule: ribosomal RNA, 460 nt
Filed under: uncultured bacterium
Lineage: Bacteria
Description: partial 16S ribosomal RNA
Rfam family: Bacterial small subunit ribosomal RNA
Source: RNAcentral